AACUGUUUUGUCAAUGUUACUGGCAUACACACUUCAAAGGAAAACCUAAAAUAGAAAAGAUGGCUAAUAGCAUAAUGCUUAAGAACAUGAGUUUUAGAAUUGAACUGCAGGGCAUACUGAACUCUGCCAUUUACUGGAUGUGUGACCUUGGGCAGGUUACCUAAUCUCUUCACGCCUCAUUGUUCUCAUCUGUAAAAUGGGGACAAUAAUACUACCUAAUUCACUGUAUUGUUAUGAGAUUAAAAGAGUUAGUACCUAUAAAGGGCUUGCCUAGUGGCUGGCACAUAGUAAGUCUUCAGUAAAUAUCAGUUAUUAGGACUAAAUCAGGUUGUUGGGGGUAGGGGGAAGGAAGAGGGAAUAAUUCUAUCCUUCUAAAGUUUUUGUAAAGUGCAGCACUAGAGUGUGGCUCUAGCGACAUAGGAAAACUCAUCUUUGGGCAGGGGACCACUUUACGAGUCAAACCAGGUAGGUCUGGAUGUUCCCGGCUGAGGCACAGCUGCCCACUACAUUCGUGUCUUGUCUAAUUUUCUCUGCCUUCUCAACUUCUAACCGAGGACUUUCACUGUUCAGUUUUAUUUUCUUUUUGUAAUACUUAGUAGGAUGUGUGGAAAACCUAGCCAAUAGGGUCUUCCCCAGCCCAUUCAGUUUCAGCUAGAGGCAAAAAGUGGGGCAAGCCUGAAGGUGAACUGGAUCUGGGAAUUCUAGGCUAAGACUGAGAGAAUGUAAGUCUGGCUAACUUGGAGAAAUAAAAACAUCCAAUGUGGGAGGUUCAUGAAAACUAAAAAUGAUUUUCCUAAUAGUGUACUAGAGUAGAAACCACCCCUGUGGUUUCUAGAAUUCUCUAAGAACUGUCAUUCAAGGAGAAAACUGUCUUUCAAGCAUGGAAAUGGCAAGUUUUUGUUUGGUAAAAGAAAGAAAUAAAGAAAAAAUAGGGGAGGACAGAAGAGAAACUGUUGGUGACUUGGAUCUUUUCUUUUUAAUUUAUUCUUUUGGUCAAGAAACAUGGAAGACCGUAUUUUCCAUAAGAUGGCUUUUAAAAACCUUUUUAAAAUUCCUACUGUCACCAAGUAGGAGUCGAAUAUGUAUAGCAUACCUCUGGUGAGCUGUAUAGAGGAAGAAAAGGAAGGAAAUUUAGCAGAGUUGAGAGUGUUUUUGUACUAGGCAGAAAAGCCGUGCCAAUCUCUGGGACAAACAAGCUUGGAACAAGGCUUUUCUUUGGGCCUGGAACAAGACUCACCAUUAUUCCCCAUAAGUCCUUUACUACUUGAGAGAAAGCCCUUAAUCUAUAAUGACCAGCUCUCACAUCCCAGACACCUAAUGAAUUUCUAAAUGAGCUUCCGUGUGUUAACCUGAUAAGACUCUCCAGGGAGAGGGUCACCCUUACUUUCCUGGCUCUAAAUGUAAGACAUGUUUUGUAAGAAAAAUGGGAAAUGUCAAUUGCUGUGCCAAAACAAAGAGGAUGGGUAUAAAAACUGGACCAGUUUUAGUGUUAAGUUUAUAAAAUGUAAGCCUUUCAGAAGGGUUUCAAGGCACACUUAUUAGUUUGCGUCUACACAGCACAAUUGUCCAGUUAAUUUGAUUAAUGUCAGUAGCUGAUCCAGAUAUUUAGGCACUUCCUGGAGAAACCUUCUUGGUGCUCAAAAUUGCCUCAAUUGACUGUCACAUUACCUAAAUAAUUGCCAGAUCUGUUUUACUUUGUGCUGUAUAGACUCAGCCUAAUAAAAACAAAUGCUGUUGUGUGUUUUUCCCCAGUCUGUCUCCUCUCGGCGCGGAAAGUUUCCUUCUAGUCACACAAAGAAAAGAUACCCAGCAAGCCAUUUGACUUAUGGCUGCUGCUAUUUUGCAUUUAUAUGACUCCUUUCCUUGGAAGAGAUUAAGACACUUCAUACGACUUAUUAGCUAAACAGAUUGACAGCCUAAUUAGAAAGAGAGAAGC
RNAcentral lists this long non-coding RNA (1936 nucleotides) under Canis lupus familiaris (dog). Its description in RNAcentral is "lncRNA (ENSCAFG00845001763.1)". The record is from RNAcentral. Lineage: Eukaryota; Metazoa; Chordata; Mammalia; Carnivora; Canidae.